Molecule: ribosomal RNA, 497 nt
Filed under: uncultured bacterium
Lineage: Bacteria
Description: partial 16S ribosomal RNA
Rfam family: Bacterial small subunit ribosomal RNA
Source: RNAcentral
GAUGAACGCUGGCGGCGUGCCUAAUACAUGCAAGUCGAGCGAACAGACGAGGAGCUUGCUCCUCUGACGUUAGCGGCGGACGGGUGAGUAACACGUGGAUAACCUACCUAUAAGACUGGGAUAACUUCGGGAAACCGGAGCUAAUACCGGAUAAUAUAUUGAACCGCAUGGUUCAAUAGUGAAAGACGGUUUUGCUGUCACUAAUAGAUGGAUCCACGCCGAAUUAGCUAGUUGGUAAGGUAACGGCUUACCAAGGCAACGAUGCGUAGCCGACCUGGGAGGGUGAUCGCCCACACUGGAACUGAGACACGGUCCAGACUCCUACGGGAGGCAGCAGUAGGGAAUCUUCCGCAAUGGGCGAAAGCCUGACGGAGCAACGCCGCGUGAGUGAUGAAGGUCUUCGGAUCGUAAAACUCUGUUAUUAGGGAAGAACAAAUGUGUAAGUAACUAUGCACGUCUUGACGGUACCUAAUCAGAAAGCCACGGCUAACUACGUG